This 75-nucleotide transfer RNA is filed under the name Podarcis lilfordi (Lilford's wall lizard). RNAcentral's name for it is "tRNA.Ile". The stretch from base 9 to 67 matches the Rfam family "tRNA", at positions 8 to 63 of the family's 71-position model. Rfam says of the family: Transfer RNA (tRNA) molecules are approximately 80 nucleotides in length. Lineage: Eukaryota; Metazoa; Chordata; Lepidosauria; Squamata; Lacertidae. The record is from RNAcentral.
AACCUGGAUAGCUCAGUUGGUCAGAGCAUGGUGCUGAUAAUGCUAAGGUCACAGGUUUGAUCCCCGUAUGGGUCA